GCCGGGAUGGUGGAAUUUGGUAGACACACGGGACUUAAAAUCCCGAGGGCCGCAAGGCCCGUGCCGGUUCGAGUCCGGCUCCCGGCACCA
RNAcentral lists this transfer RNA (90 nucleotides) under Deltaproteobacteria bacterium. RNAcentral describes it as "tRNA-Leu". It matches the Rfam family "tRNA". From Rfam's summary of the family: Transfer RNA (tRNA) molecules are approximately 80 nucleotides in length. Their secondary structure includes four short double-helical elements and three loops (D, anti-codon, and T loops). Further hydrogen bonds mediate the characteristic L-shaped molecular structure. tRNAs have two regions of fundamental functional importance: the anti-codon, which is responsible for specific mRNA codon recognition, and the 3' end, to which the tRNAs corresponding amino acid is attached (by aminoacyl-tRNA synthetases). tRNAs cope with the degeneracy of the genetic code in two manners: having more than one tRNA (with a specific anti-codon) for a particular amino acid; and 'wobble' base-pairing, i.e. permitting non-standard base-pairing at the 3rd anti-codon position. The record is from RNAcentral. Lineage: Bacteria; Pseudomonadati; Myxococcota; Myxococcia.